UACGUAGGUGGCAAGCGAUACUCGGAAUCACUAGGCGUAAAGCGCAGGUAGGCGGUUUGGUAAGCCUUUUGUGAAAACUCCCGGCUUAACUGGGAGAGGCCAAGGGAAACUACCAGGCUAGAGUGUGGCAGAGGAAGCUGGAAUUCCCGGUGUAGCGGUGAAAUGCGUAGAUAUUGGGAGGAACACCAGUGGCGCAAGCGGCUAUCUGGACUGACAUUGACGCUGAGGCACGAAAGCGUGGGGAUCAAACAGG
This 253-nucleotide ribosomal RNA is filed under the name uncultured bacterium. RNAcentral describes it as "partial 16S ribosomal RNA". It matches the Rfam family "Bacterial small subunit ribosomal RNA", at positions 524 to 776 of the family's 1533-position model. The record is from RNAcentral.